Molecule: long non-coding RNA, 255 nt
Filed under: Malus domestica (apple)
Lineage: Eukaryota; Viridiplantae; Streptophyta; Magnoliopsida; Rosales; Rosaceae
Description: long non-coding RNA (MDOM_LNC003469)
Source: RNAcentral
ACUCUUCGGCCGAGAUUCCUUCGAUUUUCUCCAGUUAGGUAAGCUUUAGGUUUAUCUCUUUUCGUUCUAAUUGAAGCUUGGGUGUGAUUUAUUAAGUGUUAUACUUGUAAUUUCCAAGAUGUUAGAACGAGAUCGGCUUGGUGGGAAGCACACCCAACUCGGGCAAAAUCGUGGGUGUCAAGGAUAUUCCCGGUCACCUCCGGCCAUUUCACAACUAAUAGAAGGUAUAAAUCUCUUCCCAUUGUCUCACUCUUC